RNAcentral lists this ribosomal RNA (377 nucleotides) under Hellenolacerta graeca. Its description in RNAcentral is "partial 16S ribosomal RNA". It matches the Rfam family "Bacterial large subunit ribosomal RNA", at positions 1986 to 2570 of the family's 2925-position model. Lineage: Eukaryota; Metazoa; Chordata; Lepidosauria; Squamata; Lacertidae. The record is from RNAcentral.
ACUAGUAUGAAUGGCUAAAUGAGGACUAAACUGUCUCUUACGGACAGCCAAUGAAAUUGAUCUCCCAGUACAAAAGCUGGAAUAUACCCAUAAGACGAGAAGACCCUGUGGAGCUUAAAAAUCAAACCCAACAAACAUGGGUUUUGAGUUUUUAGUUGGGGCGACUUCGGAGUACAAAAAAACCUCCAAAAACCAGCCAUCAAGAUCAACACACCAAAACAGCUACAUUAGACCCAGCAACUUCCAAGUUGUCUGACCAAUGAACCAAGUUACCCCAGGGAUAACAGCGCCAUCCCCUUCUAGAGUCCUUAUCGACAAGGGGGUUUACGACCUCGAUGUUGGAUCAGGACACCCCAAUGGUGCAGCCGCCAUUAAAG